GAUACGGCCAUAUCUACUGAAAACCACCGGAAACCAUCAGAACUCCGAAGUUAAACCAGUAUGAGCUUAAUCAGUACUAAGAAGGGAGA
This 89-nucleotide ribosomal RNA is filed under the name Nosema bombycis. The record is from RNAcentral. Lineage: Eukaryota; Fungi; Microsporidia; Nosematidae.